Molecule: long non-coding RNA, 579 nt
Filed under: Spirodela polyrhiza (greater duckweed)
Lineage: Eukaryota; Viridiplantae; Streptophyta; Magnoliopsida; Alismatales; Araceae
Description: long non-coding RNA (SPOL_LNC002158)
Source: RNAcentral
CGCUGCUCUGCUCCGCCCCCUCCUCCCCCUCCGGCCACCACUCUCUCUCCGCCCUAACUAGAUCUUCGAACCAGACGCCUCCGAGCCUCCUCAGACUGCCAUCGAGCCGCAGCAGCGAGAGCUGAGAAGAAAGCCUACCAUCGGAGCACAGACGCCGACCCGCAGAGGGGAGGGUGGCCGCUGGGAACAGAACCGGUGGGGUUUAGGACGACGGAGGAGAGGGGAUGGGUGGCGGGCGGCGGCAAUGGCGGAGGCCGAUCUCUGAGCAAGAGAGACUAUUCUUUUGAUAAUAGGCGGCUCCCACUUUAUAGCACCAAAAGGCCGGAGCUCCAAAGCGCUCUCUUUAGAUUUGCAGGCGGGAUCCCAUCCACGGCGAGAACGCUCGGGAAGGACAGAAGCGAACAGUAGUUUUUAUCCCUCGGGUCAUGCACGUCACCUGCUCGAUAAAUUUACGAGGAGAGAGAUGGAGACAGAGACGACGACGACGACGACGAUGGCGACGACGGUGAGGAUGGAGGGGGGAGGGGGGAGACGAUGCUUUUGAGUAGCAGACAAAACCCAGAAUGGCGAGUGGCCGCC